Molecule: ribosomal RNA, 529 nt
Filed under: uncultured bacterium
Lineage: Bacteria
Description: partial 16S ribosomal RNA
Rfam family: Bacterial small subunit ribosomal RNA
Source: RNAcentral
UGGGGAAUAUUGCACAAUGGGCGGAAGCCUGAUGCAGCAACGCCGCGUGAGGGAUGACGGCCUUCGGGUUGUAAACCUCUUUUAGCAGGGAAGAAGCGAGAGUGACGGUACCUGCAGAAAAAGCGCCGGCUAACUACGUGCCAGCAGCCGCGGUAAUACGUAGGGCGCAAGCGUUAUCCGGAAUUAUUGGGCGUAAAGAGCUCGUAGGCGGUUUGUCGCGUCUGCUGUGAAAUCCCGAGGCUCAACCUCGGGCCUGCAGUGGGUACGGGCAGACUAGAGUGCGGUAGGGGAGAUUGGAAUUCCUGGUGUAGCGGUGGAAUGCGCAGAUAUCAGGAGGAACACCGAUGGCGAAGGCAGAUCUCUGGGCCGUAACUGACGCUGAGGAGCGAAAGGGUGGGGAGCAAACAGGCUUAGAUACCCUGGUAGUCCACCCGUAAACGUUGGGAACUAGUUGUGGGGACCAUUCCACGGUUUCCGUGACGCAGCUAACGCAUUAAGUUCCCCGCCUGGGGAGUACGGCCGCAAGGCU